Molecule: unclassified non-coding RNA, 174 nt
Filed under: uncultured Penicillium
Lineage: Eukaryota; Fungi; Ascomycota; Eurotiomycetes; Eurotiales; Aspergillaceae
Description: sequence contains ITS1
Source: RNAcentral
CUGAGUGAGGGCCCUCUGGGUCCAACCUCCCACCCGUGUUUAUUGUACCUUGUUGCUUUGGCGGGCCCGCCUUUAUGGCCGCCGGGGGGCUUACGCUCCCGGGCCCGCGCCCGCCGAAGACACCCUCGAACUCUGUCUGAAGAUUGUAGUCUGAGUGAAAUUAUAAAUUAUUUA